This 74-nucleotide transfer RNA is filed under the name Candidatus Woesearchaeota archaeon. RNAcentral's name for it is "tRNA-Ile". It matches the Rfam family "tRNA". From Rfam's summary of the family: Transfer RNA (tRNA) molecules are approximately 80 nucleotides in length. Their secondary structure includes four short double-helical elements and three loops (D, anti-codon, and T loops). The record is from RNAcentral. Lineage: Archaea; Nanobdellati; Candidatus Woesearchaeota.
GAGCCCAUAGCUUAGCCUGGUGGAGCGCCGGUCUUAUAAGCCGGUGGUCGCGAGUUCAAAUCUCGCUGGGCUCA